Molecule: ribosomal RNA, 235 nt
Filed under: uncultured bacterium
Lineage: Bacteria
Description: partial 16S ribosomal RNA
Rfam family: Bacterial small subunit ribosomal RNA
Source: RNAcentral
GACGAACGCUGGCGGCGUGCUUAACACAUGCAAGUCGAGCGGUAAGGCCCUUUCGGGGGUACGACGAGCGGCGAACGGGUGAGUAACACGUGGGUGACCUGCCCUCAGCUCUGGGAUAAGCCUGGGAAACCGGGUCUAAUACUGGAUAUGACUCCAUGACGCAUGUUGGUGGGGUGGAAAGCCUUGUGCGGCUGAGGAUGGGCCCGCGGCCUAUCAGCUUGUUGGUGGGGUGAGG